Molecule: ribosomal RNA, 220 nt
Filed under: uncultured bacterium
Lineage: Bacteria
Description: partial 16S ribosomal RNA
Rfam family: Bacterial small subunit ribosomal RNA
Source: RNAcentral
GUUACAGAUGUGAAAGACCCCGGGCCGUCAACCUCGGGAAUUAGCAUUUGUAAACUAGGCAGACUAGAGUACUGUAGAGGGGGGUAGGAAUUUCUAGGUGUAGCGGUGAAAUAGCGUAGAGAUCUGAAGGAAUACCGGUGGCGAAGGCGGCCCCCUCGGACAGAUACUGACACUCAGAUGCGAAAGCGUGGGGAGCAAACAGGAUUAGAUACCCUGGUAG